Molecule: antisense RNA, 509 nt
Filed under: Streptomyces sp. NRRL S-1521
Lineage: Bacteria; Bacillati; Actinomycetota; Actinomycetes; Kitasatosporales; Streptomycetaceae
Description: Saccharopolyspora sRNA 350
Rfam family: Saccharopolyspora sRNA 350
Source: Rfam by way of RNAcentral
CGCGCGGUGUACUCCCAGAUGGCCUCCUGGUCGAGAAGCGCCUGCUCCCCGAAGUAGGAGCCGUCGGCGAGCGUCCCGAGCACCGUGUCGUCGCCGUAGGGUCCGGUGCCGACCUUCUCCACCCGGCCGUGCGCGAGCAGGAAGACCUCGCCCGAGGGGCUGCCGAAGGAGGUCAGGACCUCACCCGCGGCGUACUCCCGCUGCUGGCAGCGGGAGGCCAGCUCGCCCAGCACCUCCUGGUCGUCGAAGUCCCGCAGCAACGGCAGCUCGCCCAGUUCGGCGGGGAUGACCUGGACCUGGUCGCCCGUCUUGACGAAGGUCACCCUGCCGUCACCGACCGCGUAGCUCAGCCUGCGGUUCACCCGGUACGUGCCGCCCUGCACCUGCACCCACGGCAGCAUCCGCAGCAGCCAGCGGGAGCUGAUCUCCUGCAUCUGCGGCGCCGACUUGGUGGUGGUGGCCAGGUUCCGCGCGGCCGAUGUGCCGAGGCUCUGCUGCGGCUUCCCCGA